This 404-nucleotide ribosomal RNA is filed under the name uncultured bacterium. RNAcentral describes it as "partial 16S ribosomal RNA". It matches the Rfam family "Bacterial small subunit ribosomal RNA", at positions 29 to 526 of the family's 1533-position model. The record is from RNAcentral.
AUUGAACGCUGGCGGCAGGCCUAACACAUGCAAGUCGAGCGAGCGGCGGACGGGUGAGUAAUGCCUGGGAAUUGCCCAGUCGAGGGGGAAAACAGUUGGAAACGACUGCUAAUACCGCAUACGAUGGGAUUGCCCAGGGGGGGUUAGCUGGUUGGUGAGGUAAUGGCUCACAAAGGCGACGAUCCCUAGCUGGUCUGAGAGGAUGAUCAGCCACACUGGACCUAAGACACGGUCCAGACACCUACGGGAGGCAGCAGGGGGGAAUAUUGCACAAUGGGGGAAACCCUGAUGCAGCCAUGCCGCGUGUGUGAAGAAGGCCUUCGGGUUGUAAAGCACUUUCAGCGAGGAGGCGCUACACGCAGAAGAAGCACCGGCUAACACCGUGCCAGCCGCCGCGCGAAUAC